This is a long non-coding RNA of Aedes aegypti (yellow fever mosquito), 1274 nucleotides long. RefSeq lists it as uncharacterized. The transcript has 2 exons. NCBI's taxonomy places the organism in Eukaryota, Metazoa, Arthropoda, Insecta, Diptera, Culicidae. The record is from RefSeq and is a predicted model, not a curated record.
CUGUCUGAGUAAUCUAUGUUGAACAGUGAACAUUUCUGAAACUGUCCAAGAAAUGUUAAACUAUACGGAUUUAAAAAUGUGUGUUUAAUAGUUGCACAAUUUGGUUACCCUCUAUCAAAUUCUUCGUGUUCAUUUUGGUGCAACACACAUUCACAUGAGUAUUUUACCAUACACUACCCAAUAUACACAGUUUGGUAAAUUGUUUUAUGUGAUGGUAUAUGUAAACGAUACGGCCUUGCAAAGUUUUCAUAAUUUUUUCUGCCAUUUUAAUUCUCUCAAUAAAAUUAGUACACACUGUCGUCUUGUGAAAUAUUUAUUAACGUAAAAACUGGUGAUAUAUGGUAUAGAAAAAUUAAGGUCGCAAUGUUUAUUACUCAUCCCGUGCCUUCAGCUACGGAGGAAUCAGAAAAAUAUUAUCAGAUUAGUCUAGCCAACCAGCAAAAAGCCGGAAACGAUAUCGUCAACUAUAUGGAAUCUACUUCCACCGUAUCCCUAAUAGCGCUAGCGCACAAUCGACAAGAGUAACAGUUGCAGCAAGUUCAAGAAAGUGCCAUGACAAUCGCAAUUGUUGAUCCGGUCGCCGGAGUGAUGCCGAAUGCCGUCCAACCCAAAGGAAAGUUAAGUUAAUACGUUUUCCAAAACAGCUUGUAAAGUUGUUUGUUGUCCGGGGAUACCAUCCGGAAGUACUUCUUCGGCAUUUCGCUAACCGCUCCACAAAGUGACCGGGAUGAAAACCAAAACAGCAGACAAAAAUAUUAACAUCCAGUGCGUGAAUCAAUUUGGACCUAAAAGGAAGGAUAAAAGAUGAAGGUUCUUGACGAAUUGAAGUGCCGAAAGUUAGCCGCAUCCAACAUCCAACGCAACCAGUGCAUCGAUUGUCACGACCUUUUCUGUUCAAGAAACCAUCCUGCAUCCGGCAAGUGUUCCUCCCCUGAUGAAUCCAAAAUAGGACAAGCGGAAUCAAUCCUGGAGUCACAUCCUGGCAUGUGCUUGUGAUGUUGUUGAGCGUGUUUUUGAAUAAGGACGUAAGUGAUAUAAUUGAUUUCUCUUCGUUGAACCUCUCUUCAAUUGAUAGCACUUUUUCACAUAAGGACGCUUAGCAGGAAUGCAAUCUAACAUCCUAAGGUGAAAAUCUGCGAAGAUACUUGUCACCUUUAUAAAUACUUACGCCCUUAUUCACGCCUGAAGUAUAAAUUUCAAUUUCGACAGUCUUAUGAAGAAUCUAUUUUAUGCAGCGAUGCGAAAUGCAAUUGAGUUUUGCUUGUUUUAUUUAG